RNAcentral lists this small RNA (106 nucleotides) under Marmota monax (woodchuck). Lineage: Eukaryota; Metazoa; Chordata; Mammalia; Rodentia; Sciuridae. The record is from RNAcentral.
GCUGGGAGUAGUGGUGCAUUCCUGUAAUCCCAAUAUCUCAGGGGGCUGAGGUGGGGGAUCCCAAGUUUGAGGUCAAUCUCAGCAACUUAGUGAGGCCCUGUCUCAA